Molecule: ribosomal RNA, 440 nt
Filed under: uncultured bacterium
Lineage: Bacteria
Description: partial 16S ribosomal RNA
Rfam family: Bacterial small subunit ribosomal RNA
Source: RNAcentral
CCUACGGGUGGCAGCAGUGGGGAAUAUUGCACAAUGGGGGAAACCCUGAUCCAGCGACGCCGCGUGAGCGAAGAAGGAUUUCGGUAUGUAAAGCUCUAUCAGCAGGGAAGAGAAUGACGGUACAUGACUAAGAAGCCCCGGCUAACUACGUGCCCGCAGCCUCGGGAAUACGUAGGGGGCAAGCGUUAUCCGGAUUUACUGGGGGUAAAGGGAGCGCAGACGGCUGUGCAAGACAGAUGUGAAAGCCCGGGGCUCAACCCCGGGACUGCAUUUGAAACUGUGUGGCUGGAGUGUCGGAGAGGCAAGCGGAAUUCCUAGUGUAGCGGUGAAAUGCGGAGAUAUUAGGAGGAACACCAGUGGCGAAGGCGGCCUGCUGGACGAUGACUGACGUUGAGGCUCGAAAGCGUGGGGAGCAAACAGGAUUAGAUACCCCGGUAGUC